AAUAAGAUGCCUGACAAAAGGGCUAUUUUGAUAGAAUAGAAUAUGUAGAUCUUCUACUCUUAUUA
Molecule: transfer RNA, 65 nt
Filed under: Sympetrum eroticum
Lineage: Eukaryota; Metazoa; Arthropoda; Insecta; Odonata; Libellulidae
Also listed under: 1 other name
Description: tRNA-Ile
Source: RNAcentral